GUGACCUGCGGAGGAUCAUUACACAGCCCACGCCCUGGUCCGUCCAGGGGCAGAUGGGGGGUGCGCCAGCGCCCAACCCCACACUCUCUGCGUACGAAUCCCCGUUGCUUCCCCGGGGAGGGACAAACCACCCCGGGGGAGGACCACCCAGGAGCACACGAUGCCGACCAACAGACCUUUCCACCCCCCCCUGUCUGAAGGGCCAGAGUGCCAUGAAGUAAGGAGCGAGCGAGAGAGACGAAUGCAAAAAACUUUCAACAACGGAUCUCUUGGUUCCCGCAUCGAUGAAGAACGCAGCGAAAUGCGAUAAGUAAUGUGAAUUGCAGAAUUCAGUGAAUCAUCGAAUCUUUGAACGCACAUUGCGCCCCCUGGCAUUCCGGGGGGCAUGCCUGUUCGAGCGUCUCCGAGAAGAAGACUCACGCGGCGCAAAGCGUGGUGGUGGCGGCGGCGGCGAUCCCGAGAGGGCAGCCACCCCGGCGGAAUGGAUGGGCGGACGACUGCCGCGUCCCUGAGCGUGAUAUUUUGCUAUCGCCUCGAGCGCGGCGAGGCACCCAGCCCUGGCCAGUCGCCUCCCGCAUCUGAGAGUGUGAUAUUUCGCUAUCGCCUCCAGAGCGGCGAGGCAGCCAGCCCUGCCGCCCGGGCAGGGCGGAGAGACCUGUGUCAUUGGAACUCCUCGAAUCAGGUAGGGAUACCCGCUGAACUUUAA
This 706-nucleotide ribosomal RNA is filed under the name uncultured Helvella. Its description in RNAcentral is "eukaryotic LSU rRNA". The stretch from base 250 to 403 matches the Rfam family "5.8S ribosomal RNA". Lineage: Eukaryota; Fungi; Ascomycota; Pezizomycetes; Pezizales; Helvellaceae. The record is from RNAcentral.